This is a small nuclear RNA of Cavia porcellus (domestic guinea pig), 103 nucleotides long. The record is from Ensembl. Lineage: Eukaryota; Metazoa; Chordata; Mammalia; Rodentia; Caviidae.
AAAGUGAGCUGUAACUUUAGCUACAUUUGGAGCAGUAUAGAGAAGAUCAGCAUGGGUUCUACACAAGGGUGACACCCAAAUUUAUGAAGUACUUUAUAUUUUU